AUGGCGCCUGUGCAGUGUAGGUCUUCCAGGUAUGGGAAGAACAGCACAGUGCUCGGCCUCUCUCUCGGGGCAAAGGCUGGCUCCAGGCUCGCCAGUGCAGUCACUCCCUCUUCAGCAUGUGCGGGGACUCCAUUUCCCAGCCUUCCAAACGGUACGAUUAGAGUCUGGUCACUGGAUUCUAGAACAGGUCUGACCCUGAAUCUCAUCGCGCAAUCUUCCACUUGUUCUCUCACCAUUCAUGAGAGAGGACAUCAAGGACUCCUGGUGGCCGGAGUCUGCAGCCCCCCUGGGCCAGGAGACCUCAGGCCUACCCCGGACCUAAACACGGGCAAGACAGAAUGGCAAGCUUGGGAUGCCAUCUUCCAGAGGGCAAAGCCCAGAUUUUGCGGAUUGCUGAUGGUUGAGAGCCUGAACAUGUCGGGAAGUGUGGAACAAACGCGUGGAUGGGGGUAGACACUCUUGCCUCCAAGUCACAGAGCCUCCCUGUCUUUGCAGAUGAGGACAGGGACCCCUUUCCAGCCAAAGGCAGCAGAAAAGCAGCGGCGGUAACUCCACCCUAACUUGGAUGUGAUUUAUUCCGAUGAAAACUCAGGGGGAAUUGUUUCAGAGGAAUCCAUAAAACAAAUGUCAUUUUCACCUGGAGAAUUCACCCAACCUUCUAACCAAUUUCAAAUAUAGCUCUUUAAUGCAGAUUUGACAAAUCUGAAAUCUCUUACCCGAAGCCAUUUAUCAUCUCAUGUGCGCCUGCCCUGCAACACAGUUUUAAGUUACAGCAUUUUAAUGGAGUAAAACACUUCUAUAAAAUCAUCAAAAUACCCUAAACCACAACUGUCUAUAAGAAAUUGAUGAGGUUCAAGCAUUGAUUCAACCCGUAAAACGUCAACCUUGCCAUUGGCACUAGGGGCACUUCCAACACAGCAGCUAAGGAGAGGGAAGAAUAUCUAAUGAGGCAUUUUGUAUGUCUAUGUGGUUUCUCAAACUGGAAAUAGAUCAAUGAUCCUUACAAACGCAUAUUUCAGCAGUGUAUUCAUAAACAAUAAUCUUGGUUUUCUAUCAUGACUUGAAUGUCAUUCUUUUCAUAACACAGCUGAAGACUUAAUGAUUUACAUGGACACAC
This 1117-nucleotide long non-coding RNA is filed under the name Oryctolagus cuniculus (rabbit). RNAcentral describes it as "lncRNA (ENSOCUG00000033294.1)". The record is from RNAcentral. Lineage: Eukaryota; Metazoa; Chordata; Mammalia; Lagomorpha; Leporidae.